CCUACGGAGGCAGCAGUGGGGAAUUUUCCGCAAUGGGCGAAAGCCUGACGGAGCAACGCCGCGUGAGGGAUGAAGGCCUCUGGGCUGUAAACCUCUUUUAUCAAGGAAGAAGAUCUGACGGUACUUGAUGAAUAAGCCACGGCUAAUUCCGUGCCAGCAGCCGCGGUAAUACGGGAGUGGCAAGCGUUAUCCGGAAUUAUUGGGCGUAAAGCGUCCGCAGGCGGUCUUGUAAGUCUGUCGUUAAAGCGUGGAGCUUAACUCCAUUUCGGCGGUGGAAACUACAAGACUAGAGUGUGGUAGGGGCAGAGGGAAUUCCCGGUGUAGCGGUGAAAUGCGUAGAUAUCGGGAAGAACACCAGUGGCGAAGGCGCUCUGCUGGGCCAUAACUGACGCUCAUGGACGAAAGCUAGGGGAGCGAAAGGGAUUAGAUACCCCUGUAGUCCUAGCCGUAAACGAUGAACACUAGGUNUCGGGGGAAUCGACCCCCUCGGUGUCGUAGCUAACGCGUUAAGUGUUCCGCCUGGGGAGUACGCACGCAGUGUGAACUAAUAGUAGUAGACGCGUGAGACGUCGCCGACGGACGACGACGAGGGAGUAGG
Molecule: ribosomal RNA, 598 nt
Filed under: uncultured bacterium
Lineage: Bacteria
Description: bacterial SSU rRNA
Rfam family: Bacterial small subunit ribosomal RNA
Source: RNAcentral